UUUUUUUCAUGUAGUGUUUCUUAAUUAAUAUCUGACGAUUAUCUAUAAUUAUUUAGAAGGUUUAAAUGUUACAGUUAUUUACAUAUAAUUCAAAUAACUCAGAUAUUUAACAUGGUUAAUGUCAAAUAUGAAAAUGGAGUAAAAAAAUUCACUAGCUAACUGAGUUUUGAAUUAAGAAUAAUAUUUUCAAUUACAUUAUUAUAAAAAUAAUUAUUAUUGAAAAAUAAUAUUUUAGAAACUGAAAUUUUAAGAAAGAAAUAUAUUUUAAGAGAUAUCAACACACCAAAUAAGUUUCUUCAUUACCAAAAAAAAACACCAAAUAAGAGUUCAAGUAGUAGUAAAAGAGUUAAGUCUUAUCCAAAGAGUCAUUCAUUGUCUCAACAUUUGAUUGUUUGCCAUAAAUAUGAGUUAUUAUUUUGCUUCCUGAUUAUUUUUAGGAUCCAAUGACACCGGCAAGAAUGAUAUCAAAAAAGAAAAAUAUAAGGAAUAUAUUGUUAAUUUUUUUCAUAUAGUUAAUAUCCCAUGAUUAUCUAUAUUUACUAAGAAAGUGCAAAUUUUAAGAUUAUUUACAUAUAAUCCAAAUAACUUAAAUAUUUGACAUAAUUAGCGUCUACGCAUCCACGCGGGUACUAAUACUAGUUUGUAGUAUAUAUAAGCCUAAGAUCCUUUGUGAGUUCCCAGUUAAUUGGAGAGAAGUAUGGAAAGAAAAGAGUCAGUUCUCUAUUGGUCCUAAAGGAAUUUAUUACUGUAAAAUAUUUGUAAUAGAAUUACUGUCUACCACGCAACAAGCCAAAAAUUGGUUAGUGGAAUUAAAUACGUCGGUUCAUAAUUCUUACAAGAAAACAUAGAAACUGUUUUUAGGUAUAUACUAUUGCAGAAUUUGAUUAGUAACUUAAAACAGAUUUACAAGCUAUGUCACUGAUGUAUUCUUCUUCAUGUGGUUGUUGCAUGAGGUGAAAUAUAGUCUGGUAUAGUCGUGGAAAUCUUGGAAUCUCCUGGUUUAAUCAACCCAGUGUCAAAAUUUGUUCCCCAUUCUCGUCUUCUGGCACUGCCAAAAGUAUUCCCACCUAUUCUCAACUAAAUCGGUCUAAAACUCUUUUCAACUCGAAUAGUCACGCCUUCGUGAUUGCAGCUAACGUCCAGCAUAACUCGAAGGGCUUAAGUUGCUGCCUCCAUGGAAAUCAGUU
Molecule: long non-coding RNA, 1187 nt
Filed under: Nicotiana tabacum (common tobacco)
Lineage: Eukaryota; Viridiplantae; Streptophyta; Magnoliopsida; Solanales; Solanaceae
Description: long non-coding RNA (NTAB_LNC018642)
Source: RNAcentral